UGAGUACGAGCGGCUACGGCCGCGAAGUGGAUGAUGUCAAGCUUCCAAGAAAAGCCCUAUACCCGUUAAGGCAUGAUGGCCUGUACCCGAAACCGACACAGGUGGGGUGGUAGAGAAUACCGAGGGGCGCGAGGUAACUCUCUCUAAGGAACUCGGCAAAAUGGCCCCGUAACUUCGGGAGAAGGGGUGCCACCGCGAGGUGGUCGCAGUGAAGAGGCCCAGGCGACUGUUUACCAAAAACACAGGUCUCCGCUAAGUCGCAAGACGAUGUAUGGGGGCUGACGCCUGCCCAGUGCCGGAAGGUUAAGGAAGCUGGUCAGCGCAAGCGAAGCUGGCGACUGAAGCCCCGGUGAACGGCGGCCGUAACGAUAACGGUCCUAAGGUAGCGAAAUUCCUUGUCGGGUAAGUUCCGACCCGCACGAAAGGCGUAACGAUCUGGGCGCUGUCUCGGAGAGAGGCUCGGCGAAAUAGAAUUGUCUGUGAAGAUGCGGACUACGUGCACCCGGACAGAAAGACCCUAUGAAGCUUUACUGUAGCUUGGUAUUGUGCUCGGGCUCGGAAUGCGCAGGAUAGGUGGGAGGCUUUGAUCCAUUGCUUGCGGGUGAUGGUGAGCCACUGGUGAGAUACCACUCUUUCCGAGCUAGAGUUCUAACAGCAACCCGUUAUCCGGGUGCUGGACAGUAUCAGGUGGGCAGUUUGACUGGGGCGGUCGCCUCCUAAAAGGUAACGGAGGCGCGCAAAGGUCUGCUCAGGCUGGUUGGAAAUCAGCCGACGAGUGUAAAAGCAGAAGCAGGCUUGACUGUGAGACCUACAAGUCGAACAGGGAGGAAACUCGGCUUUAGUGAUCCGACGGUUAUGCGUGGAAGGGCCGUCGCUUAACGGAUAAAAGUUACUCUAGGAUAACAGGCUGAUCUCCCCCAAGAGUUCACAUCGACGGGGAGGUUUGGCACCUCGAUGUCGGCUCAACGCAACCUGGGGCUGAAGUCGGUCCCAAGGGUUGGGCUGUUCGCCCAUUAAAGCGGUACGCGAGCUGGGUUCAGAACGUCGUGAGACAGUUCGGUCCAUAUCCGGUGCACGCGCAGGAAUAUUGAGAGGAUUUCUCCCUAGUACGAGAGGACCGGGAGGAACGCACCUCUGGUGUGCCAGUUAUCGUGCCAACGGUAAACGCUGGGUAGCCAUGUGCGGAGUGGAUAACCGCUGAAAGCAUCUAAGUGGGAAGCCCACCUCAAGAUGAGUAUUCCCAUGGCAUAAGCCAGUAAGGUCACGGGAAGAACACCCGUUGAUAGGCUCUACGUGGAAGCGCAGUAAUGUGUGAAGCGGAGGAGUACUAAUAGACCGAGGGCUUGACC
RNAcentral lists this ribosomal RNA (1349 nucleotides) under metagenome. Its description in RNAcentral is "bacterial LSU rRNA". It matches the Rfam family "Bacterial large subunit ribosomal RNA", at positions 1564 to 2925 of the family's 2925-position model. The record is from RNAcentral.